This 797-nucleotide ribosomal RNA is filed under the name uncultured phototrophic eukaryote. RNAcentral describes it as "bacterial SSU rRNA". It matches the Rfam family "Bacterial small subunit ribosomal RNA", at positions 28 to 830 of the family's 1533-position model. The record is from RNAcentral.
AGCUAACGCGGCGGCUAUGCCUCUAUACAUUAAAGUUCGGUACGGGCAAUUUCCAAUUCAAUCGUGGCGGACGGGUGAGGUAAGUAAGAAUUUACCUUUAGGAGGGGGAUAACAACUGGAAACGGCUGCUUAAUACCCCAUAUGCUUUCGAGUGAAAUGGAUUUCCGCCUAAAGAGAAGCUUGCGGCUGAUUAGCUUGUUGGGUAGAGUAAUAGGCCUACCAAGGGCGACGGAUCAGUAUCUGGUUUGAGAGGACGAUCGAGACGACGACUGGAACUGAGACACGGUCCAGACUCCUACGGGAGGCAGCAGUAGGGAAUUUUCCGCAAUGGGCGAAAACCUGACGGAGCAAUACCGCGUGAGGGAUGACUGCCUAUGGGUUGUAAACCUCUUUUUUCAGGGAGGAAAAACAAUGACGUUACCUGAAGAAUAAGCAUCGGCUAACCUCCGUUGCCAGCAGCCGCGGUAAGACGGAGGAUGCAAAGUGUUAUCCGGAAUCACUGGGCGUAAAGCGUCUGUAGGUGGCCUAAUAAGUCAACUGUUAAAAUCUUGGAGCUCAACUUCAAAAUCGCAGUCGAAACUAUUAGACUAGAGUAUAGUACCAGGUCAACAGGGACAUUUCCCAGUGGGAGCGGUGACAAUGCGUAGCAGCAUUGGAAAAGAACACCGAUGGCGAAGGCACUUUACUGGGCUAUUAACUUGACAACUCAAGAGGACGAAAAGCUUAGGGGUUAGCAAAUGGGCAUUAGAUACCCCAGUAGUCCUAGCCGACAACACAUGGCAUCACUACGGUGUUGA